Molecule: long non-coding RNA, 942 nt
Organism: Scophthalmus maximus (turbot)
Lineage: Eukaryota; Metazoa; Chordata; Actinopteri; Pleuronectiformes; Scophthalmidae
Exons: 3
Source: RefSeq, a predicted model, not a curated record
CGGCUGCCUUCACGUGAAGUCGGAAUUGCGACAAUGUCACGUUCAAGUGCUUCGUUGUCGCAACGGAUUGCAGAACACCAGGCUGGGACUGGGACACUCCGGUCGAGACUAUUAUUUGAAAACCCCAGACGGUCGGUGUCGAUGUGGAGACGUGGAAUCAGUCCAGUGGUCGUUGAAUGUGAUAAAUACAGAAGUGAAAGACAACAGUUAGUCAGGAGUCGUCAGAUCUGGGCUUUUCAUCUUUCUACUUCAAGGCAAUAUUUUAAUAUGGAACUAAUUGUCAACUUGCUGACAGAGCGGUCCUGAGGUUUCUACACCUGUCUAAAAGAAGAUAGACUAAGUAGCCAUUCUUAGACUGUGGAGGGCAGCAUUACGCUGUAAAGUGUUCAACCUGCUGGAAACUCGUUGGAAGAAGAAGAAGAAGAAUUGGACAAACAAAAUGGCGAACUGGCUAAUUGUUUACACGUCUUUGGUAAGCUUCACUUCGUAGACAAUCCAACACUUCUUUAUGGACCUGGAGCAGCGUGAGGACACGGGAACAUGACACACGGAGAGAGUUAUCCAUGCAAAUACACGCUAAUGAAGAGUUCGCUCUUUCUCUGUCUCUGCGACUCCGGCUCCUCUGAGAGCAUCUUGGCGGGAGGACAGGAGCUCACAACACUGCUCAUUUGCACCGACAGCUGAGUCCUGGGGGAUCAGAGAGGAGGCGUCAGUGCCGAAGAGCUCCCACACAGAUCUGAGUGGUCUGCUCGGCCCGAGCUCCACUCAGCUGUCUCGUCUCGUCCUUGGGCCGAUGUGACGGGCUUCAUUGACCCCUCAACGUUAAAGCUGUCUCAGCUGCCAAUAUCUGGUCUCGUAAUUUAUUUUUAAUUUGCGCGGUGAAGCGUACAACCAACCAACCAACCAACCAACCAAACAACCGACCAACCAACCAACCGACCG